This 29-nucleotide non-coding RNA is filed under the name Homo sapiens (human). Lineage: Eukaryota; Metazoa; Chordata; Mammalia; Primates; Hominidae. The record is from RNAcentral.
UCCUGAAAGCUUUGAUCUCCAAAAGGGCC